CUGCCAUUGGGCUUCCUAUUGGUAUGCCUUGCAGCUAUUUGUAAAAUUCACCCUUGUACGAGAAGUAAGACUUGUGGCAUAGUAGUGUAGCAAUCUCCCUUAUGAACUCCACUUCUACUAAUGCAUGGAUGCGUUUUCUAACAGGAAUCUGUAGAAUGCGAUAGACACUGGUUCUAAUCUAACAGAUGGGUAUAGACUUUUAAAGUCAUACAUUGCUAUAACAUUGUGUUCAUACCAUGUUAUUGUUUCUAUUCUCCUCAAGGCUUAUUUUGUCGAGGCUGUAGAAUACUGACUUGGUCCUAGAACUCUUGCAGACCAUCUGGCAAUGCAUUUUUCAAGGUUGUAUGUUGGCACUCUUUGCUUCUCUGCUAUAGGUCUGGCGGAUAUCAGGUAUUUGUGUGUUUUGAUAAACACAAAGAGCCUUGGGCCUUGGGUCCAUGAUCUUUGUGUUUCCAAGCUUGUGGGAAUAUUCUAUUCCUGAUCACUUUGUCUACCGCCUUUGCUAGCUUGAAGAUUGGGUCCUGUUUUAGUCACUGUGGUAUUGAUUCAUAUAUAUAUAUCCUUUUAGGAAGCUAUCAUAUGUACUUUCGUAUUAUUACGAUCUUUUUUGUCUUGUCCUCCCUUGUGAUUUUUAAAUUGUUUUGUCUGGCCCAUGCUGUGAUACUUCUAACAAGGUUAGCCUUGUAGGCCAUGUCAUUAUCCCUUUGUCUUUCGCUUUUUUGCUUUGUCACUUCUCUCACAUUUUGCCACCUGUAUUUGUGUUUAAUCUGGUCAUUUUCUUGCAUAGUCAAAAGCAGAUCUUCUGUUCGGUAUAUCAUCUAAUGGUUUUGUCCUUAUGCGGAUAGCACAUGCUGGUCCUUUCUGCAGUAGGUCUUUUGCUGACUGUGGAAGCUCUAUGUCUCCGAUAACUGUUACUACAUCACGUAGUUCUAACUUCGAGGCUGUCCUGGUGGUCUUUUGCUUACUUAGCAACCAUUUUAGCUUCUUUAUAUGUUGGUCUCUGCACUUCCUUCUGGAGUAUUCCACUUUCCUUUCAUAAUCCUCUAUGAGGACGGGUGGAGUGUUCUUGCUAAUUAAGUUCGACCUUAAUUCCUUCAGUUUUUUGCAUAGAACGUAGUAUCUACUUUUUGCUUCUUUGGCGGUGGCAUUUAGGAGAUUUUCUUUGUGUUACGCAACACUCUCUUCGAUUUUAUUGGUAGUCUAAUAUUGUUAAUCAUAGUUGGAAAAACUUUGUUUAAUCUACAUUUUUUUAGAAAGGUCCAUAUUUCAAAUGCCUUAAACCAUUUUGUAAGAGUUUUUGAGUAAUCUUUAAGUGGCUGGUUCUGCCUGUGGUUAUUCAUUGAGAAUUCCAUCUAGUCUUAAAAAAAAAAAGGAAAAUAAAAAAUUUUUGAGAAAACACAAUCCCUAGUCUAUUCUGCAUAUGUUCCCG
RNAcentral lists this long non-coding RNA (1429 nucleotides) under Androctonus crassicauda. Lineage: Eukaryota; Metazoa; Arthropoda; Arachnida; Scorpiones; Buthidae. The record is from RNAcentral.